Russula ochroleuca is the source of this 85-nucleotide non-coding RNA. The record is from the annotation of a GenBank genome assembly. Lineage: Eukaryota; Fungi; Basidiomycota; Agaricomycetes; Russulales; Russulaceae.
GUCCCCGUCGAUUAGUGGUCAAAUCAUGACGUUGUGGUUUUCUCACAAUACCGUCAAGCCGCCGGCUCGAAUCCGGCCGGGGACA